Schistocerca americana (American grasshopper) is the source of this 906-nucleotide long non-coding RNA. RefSeq lists it as uncharacterized. The transcript has 4 exons. NCBI's taxonomy places the organism in Eukaryota, Metazoa, Arthropoda, Insecta, Orthoptera, Acrididae. The record is from RefSeq and is a predicted model, not a curated record.
UUCUGUGCUGUGGCCCGAGCGAAAGCCAUGUUGAUUGCAGUUUAGAAGUUUUGGAUGCUGGAGGUGUUUCUGAAUAUGGGGGCGACUGAACAGGAAGUGUAAACAGCUAUUUAUUUACUCGUAAUAAAUGGAAAUAAAACGAUACAAUUACGUUACCUUUAGAGAUUUGACAUAAUAGUCAAUACAUGCGUCGUGUUUGGCUGAAAUUUUUCGUAUAGCUGACGCAAAACACAAGGAAAGGAGCACAUCUCAAUGCAAGGGGGUUUACAGAUUAAUGAUGUGCUUUUAACCAGUUUCGACCAACUUCAGCUUUUCUUCAGAUAGGCAUGCCAAACCCCUGAUACUGCUGUAUAAUGUGUUACUCUACACGGUUUGGUGAAGUUUUUCCUGCUACUAUCUGCUUCUGCAACUGGAGUAAUGCUGAGGUGCUCCAGAUUUGGCGCCCAUGGCUUGCAGCUGCUUUGCCCAGCAGGUGUAGGAGUACGACACGUAUGUUGCCACAAACAUAUGUGAGAUGCUGAUGAAAUAGGACAACACAGGAGAAUAAGAAACUGUUAAAUUUUUCAAACAUCAGUUAAUGUGAAAACUUAGGCUAAAAAGAGCAAAGACCUUUUUCAAAGAAAAACUACUCAGAAACAUAAUGUAUUUAUGUAUAUUUAUGAUUGUAACUUGUGAUGUUUAUGUUUUAUUUUUAUGUCACUUAAAUCAAAUUAAUACAAAAUAAGUACUAUCAAGAAACAUGAACUGUGAAAUGCCACCAUCUGGUGGGGGACAGACUAAUAGACUCAUGAAUGAAAGAAACAAAAGACUGAUGCAAAUGGUUGAAUGGCACUUACAGUACAAUAUAUGUAUUAUCACUACCAUUUGAGGGGGAAUAUGUAAAAGCCCCAUACCGAUAAAUCAGUG